UACGAAGGGCCCGAGCGUUAUCCGGAUUUAUUGGGCUUAAAGGGUGCGUAGGCGGAAUAGUAAGUCAGUGGUGAAAGCCUGUUGCUUAACAACAGAACUGCCAUCGAUACUGCUAAUCUUGAGUACAUAUGAUGUGGGCGGAAUGUGCCAUGUAGCGGUGAAAUGCUUAGAUAUGGCACAGAACACCGAUUGCGAAGGCAGCUCACAAAACUGUUACUGACGCUGAGGCACGAAAGCGUGGGGAUCAAACAGG
RNAcentral lists this ribosomal RNA (253 nucleotides) under uncultured bacterium. Its description in RNAcentral is "partial 16S ribosomal RNA". It matches the Rfam family "Bacterial small subunit ribosomal RNA", at positions 524 to 776 of the family's 1533-position model. The record is from RNAcentral.